Molecule: long non-coding RNA, 252 nt
Organism: Gossypium arboreum
Lineage: Eukaryota; Viridiplantae; Streptophyta; Magnoliopsida; Malvales; Malvaceae
Exons: 2
Source: RefSeq, a predicted model, not a curated record
CAAUAGAGUAGCCAAUCUACUACCGUUUCAAUAUACCGAGAUUUUGUUCGUCAGCUAUCGGACUCAGAGGUGUCAAAGUCGAAGUCAUCCACACUAUCUAAGCCACUUUUUGGUAUUCUUCAGUUGAACUUGAUAAUGGCAUGUAUAGGGCUGACCCUUGUUGUUAAUUAAGUAUCCUUUGGUAAUGUAUAUUCGUAUAGCCAUGCGAAAAUGGCUUGUAUAUUUUGAGUAUAACAUUAUGAUCAUUUUGUA